This is a non-coding RNA of Oesophagostomum dentatum (nodular worm), 68 nucleotides long. Lineage: Eukaryota; Metazoa; Nematoda; Chromadorea; Rhabditida; Strongylidae. The record is from Rfam.
CGCUGAGGUCCGGAGUCAGUGGGUUAUCAUCUGAUAGAACCCCCCACUGGCAAUCACUUGACCUCCGC